RNAcentral lists this ribosomal RNA (544 nucleotides) under uncultured bacterium. RNAcentral's name for it is "bacterial SSU rRNA". It matches the Rfam family "Bacterial small subunit ribosomal RNA", at positions 358 to 916 of the family's 1533-position model. The record is from RNAcentral.
GGAAUCUUGCGCAAUGGGCGAAAGCCUGACGCAGCAACGCCGCGUGCGGGAAGAAGGCUUUCGGGCUGUAAACCGCUUUCAGUAGGAACGAAACUGACGGUACCUACAGAAGAAGGAGCGGCCAACUAUGUGCCAGCAGCCGCGGUGACACAUAGGCUCCAAGCGUUGUCCGGAUUUAUUGGGCGUAAAGAGCUCGUAGGCGGUUGAGUAAGUCGGGUGUGAAAACUUUGGGCUUAACCCAAAGAUGCCACUCGAUACUGCUUUGACUUGAGUUCGGUAGGGGAGUGGGGAAUUCCUUGUGUAGCGGUGAAAUGCGCAGAUAUAAGGAGGAACACCGGUGGCGAAGGCGCCACUCUGGGCCGAUACUGACGCUGAGGAGCGAAAGCGUGGGGAGCAAACAGGAUUAGAUACCCUGGUAGUCCACGCAGUAAACGGUGGUCACUAGGUGUGGGUCUCUUCAAACGAGAUCUGCGCCGUCGCUAACGCAUUAAGUGACCCGCCUGGGGAGUACGGUCGCAAGACUAAAACUCAAAGGAAUUGACGG